Long non-coding RNA from Rhagoletis zephyria (snowberry fruit fly), 234 nucleotides. RefSeq lists it as uncharacterized. The record is from RefSeq and is a predicted model, not a curated record. NCBI's taxonomy places the organism in Eukaryota, Metazoa, Arthropoda, Insecta, Diptera, Tephritidae.
GAUUCUGAACCGGUCGCCUCCACAUCAAUGGGAGCAAGGAAGAAGGUGAAGCUUUCCUCCUAUUUAAACUUCGCUUCUCAUCAAGUUAUGAAUUCACAAUUGGACUAGAGUACACCGUUAACCGAGUCUUCUCCGCCGGUGUCGAAUCCCAAUAAAGAUGUAAUGGAGAUGUUGCAUCAUAUUUUUAAUAAACAGUGUGACCUAGAGGCCCGGAUGGACAAGAUAGAAGAGAAU